This 459-nucleotide ribosomal RNA is filed under the name uncultured bacterium. RNAcentral's name for it is "partial 16S ribosomal RNA". It matches the Rfam family "Bacterial small subunit ribosomal RNA", at positions 338 to 795 of the family's 1533-position model. The record is from RNAcentral.
CCUACGGGAGGCAGCAGUGAGGAAUAUUGGUCAAUGGGCGGGAGCCUGAACCAGCCAAGUCGCGUGAGGGAAGAAGGUACUGAGUAUUGUAAACCUCUUUUGCCAGGGGACAAAGGCGGCCACGGGUGGCCGUAAGAGGGUACCUGGAGAAAAAGCAUCGGCUAACUCCGUGCCAGCAGCCGCGGUAAUACGGAGGAUGCGAGCGUUAUCCGGAUUUAUUGGGUUUAAAGGGAGCGUAGGCGGGCGUUCAAGUCAGCUGUAAAAUCGCGCGGCUCAACCGCGCCCCGCAGUUGAAACUGGACGCCUUGAGUUCACAACAGGCAGGCGGAAGUCGUGGUGUAGCGGUGAAAUGCAUAGAUAUCACGAGGAACCCCGAUUGCGAAGGCAGCCUGCCGGGGUGCGACUGACGCUGAGGCUCGAAGGUGCGGGUAUCAAACAGGAUUAGAUACCCUUGUAGUC